This 165-nucleotide microRNA precursor is filed under the name Oryza brachyantha (malo sina). RNAcentral describes it as "MIR812 microRNA precursor family". It matches the Rfam family "MIR812 microRNA precursor family", at positions 27 to 190 of the family's 205-position model. Lineage: Eukaryota; Viridiplantae; Streptophyta; Magnoliopsida; Poales; Poaceae. The record is from Rfam by way of RNAcentral.
UCGUAUGUAUCAUUCGUCUUAUUUAAAAAAAAUUUGUGAUUAAUAUUUUUGUUAUUACUAGAUGAUAAAAUAUGAAUAGUGCUUUGUGCGUGACUAAUUUUUUUUAAAGUUUUUAUACAAAUUUUUUAAAUAAGACGAAUGGUCAAAUGUUGGACACGGAAAAAC